CACGCAGCCCCGCGACGGCCAGCCUCCAAGGCCCGGCCCCUGCGCUGUCGGGCACCGGCCGGCCCCGGCCCUGACCCUUACGUCCGCGACCUUCCCUGAUCCCCUCCGUCAAGUUCCCCUGCCUCUUCUCCCCUCCGACGAGCUCUCCUGCAUCCCCUCCUCUCAUAUUCUGCUGAACCGAAAAUAGUACCUCCCGCAAGCGGCCACCGACACCAGAUCCGGCCACCACAGCCCCCAGGGAGGUUGGGGAAGCCACCAGGCUCCACCUGGACCACGGCGACCAACGGAUCUGAGGCCCCCUGCCCUCCGGUGCCUUCUCCAUGGCCAGUGGCCGCGCUCGUCAAGCUCGACCUUGUCGGAGCCCCUGCGGCAAGCCCUGACCAUGACGCUAGGACCGGCUAUGGCACCCCCUUCCUCUGGGAUUCAAUUCGCGGAAGCAACCCCUUCCCCUUACAGCUCUCUUGUCCCCUAACAUGCAGUUCAUUUCGGCUGCCAUCGAUGUCAUCCGCACUGCAGUGCUAAAUGUUCUCACGAUGUUUUGGUUUUUGCUGGCGUGCAGUUGGGGAUCCAUAGCCAUGCGGUUCAGCAGCAAAAAAUGCUACGGUGGAUCGGCGGUGGUCUCGGUCCAGCUUGUGCUCAUCGAAGGCACCUAUUGGCGAGAGCUCAUUUCCCUCGACCAUGCGAUUCGCUUCUUUGCACAUGUACAGCUCGCCAAUGUAGAAACCAAAACUCCAAACAGAAAAAGAAAGAAGGAAAUGAAGUGCAAAGAUGUGUUAAAUAAAAAAUGGUAGACAAACGACAAAAAAAGUAAUGACGUUCACUUAACCAUUUGAUGCACUAUGGUUUUUGAACUGAAGCAGUGCGGUAGGGUGUCUGAUAUUGUUUAUCUUGUAAGUGACCAUUUGAUGCAGUGCGGUUUUCUAACUGAAGCAGUGCGGUCGGGUGUCUGAUGUUGUUCAUCUUGUAAGUGACCAUUUGAUGCAGUGCAGUUUUCUAACUGAAGCAGUGCGGUCGGUUGUCUGAUGUUGUUCAGCUUGUAAGUGCAAAGAAAAAAAUGUUACCGAAACGACAAAUAAAGUAAUGCGGUUUACUUUUCCA
This is a long non-coding RNA of Triticum dicoccoides, 1098 nucleotides long. RefSeq lists it as uncharacterized. NCBI's taxonomy places the organism in Eukaryota, Viridiplantae, Streptophyta, Magnoliopsida, Poales, Poaceae. The transcript has 2 exons. The record is from RefSeq and is a predicted model, not a curated record.